Molecule: ribosomal RNA, 508 nt
Filed under: uncultured bacterium
Lineage: Bacteria
Description: partial 16S ribosomal RNA
Rfam family: Bacterial small subunit ribosomal RNA
Source: RNAcentral
GAUGAACGCUAGCUACAGGCUUAACACAUGCAAGUCGAGGGGAAACGAUAGAGAAAGCUUGCUUUUUCUAGGCGUCGACCGGCGCACGGGUGAGUAACGCGUGUCCAACCUGCCCAUCACUUGGGGAUAACCUUGCGAAAGUAAGACUAAUACCCAAUGACGUCUCUAGAAGACAUCUGAAAGAGAUUAAAGAUUUAUCGGUGAUGGAUGGGGAUGCGUCUGAUUAGCUUGUUGGCGGGGUAACGGCCCACCAAGGCGACGAUCAGUAGGGGUUCUGAGAGGAAGGUCCCCCACAUUGGAACUGAGACACGGUCCAAACUCCUACGGGAGGCAGCAGUGAGGAAUAUUGGUCAAUGGGCGAGAGCCUGAACCAGCCAAGUAGCGUGCAGGAUGACGGCCCUAUGGGUUGUAAACUGCUUUUAAAAGGGAAUAAAGUGAGUCUCGUGAGACUUUUUGCAUGUACCUUAUGAAUAAGGACCGGCUAAUUCCGUGCCAGCCGCCGCGGUAA